AGGCAAUACGGGAAUCCGGCUUGUCGUUGAGUUGUCUGGGUGUUCCCUGUGUUGAAUUCGUGCCGUGCUUUAUUAAUAAUGGAAGCAACACAAAACAAUAUUACAAAUGCUGUAUGGUGCCACUGUGUCCUAGUACAUAAAAGCCGGCGUUUAAAAUGGUUAAAGGGUAAAGGUAUGCAAGGAUAUUUCUGAGAAAACUACUGCCCAUGUAUGUUAAGAUCAUUUUAAUCUGGAAGAAGAUAUGAAUAACUAUGUUAAAUUCAAGUUAAUUGGAGGUCUGAAAAAAAAUGAAGGCUAUUGUACUUGCAACUUGCACUAAUCCUACUGCAGAAACUCCAUAAGAAUACAUUCCCGAUCGUAAUCGUAAAUAACGUUUUUUUACUUAUUGCAUAUUUUUGUACUUAACAUUGUUAUUCUGAGUAACUAAGGAUAUAUUUAAUAAUUAACGCUCUAUUUUGCAUCAAUGUCAAAUCACUUUUAAUGAUGUAAUUUAGUUGUUACUAGCAUGAAAACAAUACUUUUUUAUUUUUUGUUGAAUCACUUUUGAAUUUGAAAAUUAAAUCCAGUAAAACGCCAAUCUAACAUUUUAUCGAUUUAUAUAAGUAAAACUAUUGACUAUUUUGUCUAUAAAUCUACCUGUUAGCUUUAACACCGCGAACUUCAGCAAGAGUAAAACUUGGUGUUUUUAUUGUAAGAUGCCACCAUAAACAUAUCCACGAAUGGUAAAAUGUCAAAUUGUUCUUUUACAAAACCUGCGUCAGUCGUUUUGAAAAAUUUUCUUUUUCUCCGAAUAUACUAUAUAAACGUUUUAACAACAAUAUCAAGACUGAGAUUGCAUAUUUACAUGUUCCGCAUUGAAGCCACCGCGGCCGACAAGCCGCGUGACGUCACAACUGGUUUCAGCAGAUGACGGCGCGUUUCAAAAAUGGUUUAAAUUAUACCGUUUUCAAUUGCUUAUAUUAAUUACAUAGAAAUAAAAAAUUAGUUGUUUGGUCAA
Molecule: long non-coding RNA, 997 nt
Organism: Dendroctonus ponderosae (mountain pine beetle)
Lineage: Eukaryota; Metazoa; Arthropoda; Insecta; Coleoptera; Curculionidae
Exons: 2
Source: RefSeq, a predicted model, not a curated record